AUUGAACGCUGGCGGCAGGCUUAACACAUGCAAGUCGAGCGAGCGGCGGACGGGUGUGUAAUGUCUGGGAAACUGCCUGAUGGGGGGGGAUAACUUCUGGAAACGGUAGCUAAUCCCGCAUACCAUCAGAUGUGCCCAGAUGGGAUUAGCUAGUAGGUGGGGUAAGGGCUCACCUAGGCCACGAUCCCUAGCUGGUCUGAGAGGAGGACCAGCCAAACUGGAACUGAGACACGGACCAGAGUCCUACGGGAGGCAGCAGUGGGGAAUAUUGCACAAUGGGCGCAAGCCUGAUGCAGACAUGCCGGGUGUAUGAAGAAGGCCUUCGGGUUGUAAAGUACUUUCAGCGGGGAGGCGUUACCCGCAGAAGAAGCACCGGCUAACUACGUGCCAGCAGCCGCGGUAAUUC
This 406-nucleotide ribosomal RNA is filed under the name uncultured bacterium. RNAcentral describes it as "partial 16S ribosomal RNA". It matches the Rfam family "Bacterial small subunit ribosomal RNA", at positions 30 to 526 of the family's 1533-position model. The record is from RNAcentral.